GAACUCCAGUCAAGACAGUGCCACAGUAGAACAGAGAAGACCCAGACGGGUCGGUUUCCAUUUGUCCUGGAGCCUGACACUACAGCUCUGGCACACUU
Chionomys nivalis (European snow vole) is the source of this 98-nucleotide small nucleolar RNA. RefSeq annotates it as small nucleolar RNA SNORA55. The transcript has a single exon. NCBI's taxonomy places the organism in Eukaryota, Metazoa, Chordata, Mammalia, Rodentia, Cricetidae. The record is from RefSeq and is a predicted model, not a curated record.